This 123-nucleotide ribosomal RNA is filed under the name Oidiodendron maius. Its description in RNAcentral is "partial large subunit ribosomal RNA". It matches the Rfam family "Eukaryotic large subunit ribosomal RNA", at positions 141 to 258 of the family's 3401-position model. The record is from RNAcentral. Lineage: Eukaryota; Fungi; Ascomycota; Leotiomycetes; Myxotrichaceae.
AGUUGUAAUUUGGAGAGGAUGCUUCGGGUGUGGCCCCGGUCUAAGUUCCUUGGAACAGGACGUCACAGAGGGUGAGAAUCCCGUACGUGCCCGGUGGCCGCCCCCGUGUGAAGCUCCUUCGAC